GCUGGCGUAGCUCAAUGGCAGAGCAGCUGAUUUGUAAUCAGCCGGUUUUGGGUUCGAGUCCCAUCGCCAGCUCCA
This 75-nucleotide transfer RNA is filed under the name Bacillota bacterium. Its description in RNAcentral is "tRNA-Thr". It matches the Rfam family "tRNA". Rfam says of the family: Transfer RNA (tRNA) molecules are approximately 80 nucleotides in length. Their secondary structure includes four short double-helical elements and three loops (D, anti-codon, and T loops). The record is from RNAcentral. Lineage: Bacteria; Bacillati; Bacillota.